RNAcentral lists this ribosomal RNA (497 nucleotides) under uncultured bacterium. Its description in RNAcentral is "partial 16S ribosomal RNA". It matches the Rfam family "Bacterial small subunit ribosomal RNA", at positions 28 to 507 of the family's 1533-position model. The record is from RNAcentral.
GUUGAACGCUGGCGGCAUGCUUAAUACGUGCAAGUCGAGCGAACAGAUAAGGAUCUUGCUCCUUUGACGUUAGCGACGGGCGGGUGAGUAAUCCGUACGUGCCCAGUAUCUAGGAAUGGCUUAACUCCAGGAUACCUAGUAUCAUGCCGGCUAUACUUUAGAAACGAAUGGUUCUAAAGUCCUAGAAGGUUUUGCUCUCACUAAUAGAUGGACCCGCGCCGUAUUAGCUAGUUGGUAAGGUAACGGCUUACCAAGGCAACGAUACGUAGCCGACCUGAGAGGGUGAUCAGCCACACUGGAACUGAGACACGGUCCAGACUCCUACGGGAGGCAGCAGUAGGGAAUCUUCCGCAAUGGGCGAAAGCCUGACGGAGCAACGCCGCGUGAGUGAUGAAGGUCUUCGGAUCGUAAAACUCUGUUAGUAGGGAAGAACAAAUGUGUAAGUAACUGUGCACGUCUUGACGGUACCUAAUCAGAAAGCCACGGCUAACUACGUG